CGGCACUCAAGUGGUCGUCGCUUUUAUUGGGCCUAAAACGUCCGUAGCCGGUUUGGUAAACCCGUGGGUAAAUCAACCAGCUUAACUGGUUGAAUUCUGCGGAGACUGCCAAACUUGGAACCGGGAGAGGUGUGAGGAACUCUUGGGGUAGGGGUAAAAUUUGUUUAUCCCAGGGGGACCACCUGUUGCGAAGGCGUCACACUAGAACGGAUUCGACGGUCAGGGACGAAGCCUAGGGGCACGAACCGGAUUAGAUACCCGGGUAGUCCUAGGUGUAAACGCUGUGGACUUGGUGUCGGGAGUCCCUAGAGGGCCCCCGGUGCCGCAGCGAAGGUGUUAAGUCCACUGCCUGGGGAGUACGGUCGCAAGGCUGAAACUUAAAGGAAUUGGCGGGGGAGCACUGCAACGGGAGGAGCGUGCGGUUUAAUUGGAUUCAACGCCGGAAAACUCACCAGAGCCGACUGUCAGAUGAAGGCCAGCGUAAUGAGCUUGCUGGAUUGUCAGAGAGGUGGUGCAUGGCCGUCGUCAGUUCGUACCGUAAGGCGUUCUGUUAAGUCAGAUAACGAACGAGACCCUCAUCCUCAUUUGCUAACCCAGUCGCAAGAUUGGGUGCACUAUGGGGAGACCGCUUGAUGUUAAAUCAGAGGAAGGUGAGGGCAACGGUAGGUCAGUAUGCCCCGAAUGCUCUGGGCUACACGCGCGCUACAAAGGACGGGACAAUGGGAGGCCACGCCGAGAGGCGGAGCUAUCCCGAAACCCGUUCAUAGUUCGGAUUGAGGGCUGUAACUCGCCCUCAUGAAGCUGGAUUCCGUAGUAAUCGUGUUUCAAAAUAGCACGGUGAAUAUGCCCCUGCUCCUU
RNAcentral lists this ribosomal RNA (858 nucleotides) under uncultured organism. Its description in RNAcentral is "bacterial SSU rRNA". It matches the Rfam family "Archaeal small subunit ribosomal RNA", at positions 478 to 1338 of the family's 1478-position model. The record is from RNAcentral.